This 545-nucleotide non-coding RNA is filed under the name Pongo abelii (Sumatran orangutan). The record is from RNAcentral. Lineage: Eukaryota; Metazoa; Chordata; Mammalia; Primates; Hominidae.
AAGCAGAAUUCUGAUGGCCAAACACGAGGAAGCUGGAUAAGGGGAAGGCUGGGGAUGGGGUGGGGGAGGUGGGGCUAGGUGGGUGUCUGUCCCUUAGCCCCCUACCUCUCUACCUCCUCUGUGUGCUGCAGAGACUGCCCACCUGUGACAGUGACAGUGAAGAAGGCCGAGUCAUCUCCAGCGUCGCAUACAAACUCGCCCCCGUCCUCGGGCUGGGCAGCAGGUAGCACCAGGCGGCAGCGUGGCCCAUCCCUCUCCAGCACCAGGGCCUCACUCUCCUCCACUUCCAGCCCGUCCUUGUACCAGCGCACAGGGGCAUCCUCCCGAGACAGUUCACACAUCAGCACCACACACUCCAAGGUCACGGCAAUCAAGGUCACCUCAUCGCGAGGGUAUAUGAUCCGCACUGGGGGUUCUGCAGGGUGGGGACAACCACAGCCUGUCACAAGCGCACCCGUCAGCCUCUCUGGAGCUAUUCGGCAGCAUGAAGUCCCCAUCACCCACAUAAUAAUAAUAAUAAUAAGUGAAAUAAUAAUAAGCAAUAA